RNAcentral lists this ribosomal RNA (393 nucleotides) under uncultured bacterium. Its description in RNAcentral is "partial 16S ribosomal RNA". It matches the Rfam family "Bacterial small subunit ribosomal RNA", at positions 523 to 918 of the family's 1533-position model. The record is from RNAcentral.
AUACGGAGGAUCCGAGCGUUAUCCGGAUUUAUUGGGUUUAAAGGGUGCGUAGGCGGGACUGUAAGUCAGGGGUGAAAUACUGCAGCUUAACUGUAGCAUUGCCUUUGAAACUGCCGUUCUUGAGUACAGUUGAGGUAGGCGGAAUGUGGUGUGUAGCGGUGAAAUGCAUAGAUAUACCACAGAACGCCGAUUGCGAAGGCAGCUUACUAAGCUGUUACUGACGCUGAGGCACGAAAGCGUGGGGAUCAAACAGGAUUAGAUACCCUGGUAGUCCACGCUGUAAACGGUGAUUACUGGUUGUUAGCGAUAUAUAGCUAGUGACUGAGCGAAAGCAUUAAGUAAUCCACCUGGGGAGUACGUCGGCAACGAUGAAACUCAAAGGAAUUGACGGGG